This 1155-nucleotide ribosomal RNA is filed under the name Bacillus aerius. RNAcentral describes it as "bacterial SSU rRNA". It matches the Rfam family "Bacterial small subunit ribosomal RNA", at positions 35 to 1180 of the family's 1533-position model. The record is from RNAcentral. Lineage: Bacteria; Bacillati; Bacillota; Bacilli; Caryophanales; Bacillaceae.
GCAAGUGCGGCUGCUAUACAUGCAAGUCGAGCGGACAGAAGGGAGCUUGCUCCCGGAUGUUAGCGGCGGACGGGUGAGUAACACGUGGGUAACCUGCCUGUAAGACUGGGAUAACUCCGGGAAACCGGAGCUAAUACCGGAUAGUUCCUUGAACCGCAUGGUUCAAGGAUGAAAGACGGUUUCGGCUGUCACUUACAGAUGGACCCGCGGCGCAUUAGCUAGUUGGUGAGGUAACGGCUCACCAAGGCGACGAUGCGUAGCCGACCUGAGAGGGUGAUCGGCCACACUGGGACUGAGACACGGCCCAGACUCCUACGGGAGGCAGCAGUAGGGAAUCUUCCGCAAUGGACGAAAGUCUGACGGAGCAACGCCGCGUGAGUGAUGAAGGUUUUCGGAUCGUAAAGCUCUGUUGUUAGGGAAGAACAAGUGCAAGAGUAACUGCUUGCACCUUGACGGUACCUAACCAGAAAGCCACGGCUAACUACGUGCCAGCAGCCGCGGUAAUACGUAGGUGGCAAGCGUUGUCCGGAAUUAUUGGGCGUAAAGGGCUCGCAGGCGGUUUCUUAAGUCUGAUGUGAAAGCCCCCGGCUCAACCGGGGAGGGUCAUUGGAAACUGGGAAACUUGAGUGCAGAAGAGGAGAGUGGAAUUCCACGUGUAGCGGUGAAAUGCGUAGAGAUGUGGAGGAACACCAGUGGCGAAGGCGACUCUCUGGUCUGUAACUGACGCUGAGGAGCGAAAGCGUGGGGAGCGAACAGGAUUAGAUACCCUGGUAGUCCACGCCGUAAACGAUGAGUGCUAAGUGUUAGGGGGUUUCCGCCCCUUAGUGCUGCAGCUAACGCAUUAAGCACUCCGCCUGGGGAGUACGGUCGCAAGACUGAAACUCAAAGGAAUUGACGGGGGCCCGCACAAGCGGUGGAGCAUGUGGUUUAAUUCGAAGCAACGCGAAGAACCUUACCAGGUCUUGACAUCCUCUGACAACCCUAGAGAUAGGGCUUUCCCUUCGGGGACAGAGUGACAGGUGGUGCAUGGUUGUCGUCAGCUCGUGUCGUGAGAUGUUGGGGUUAGUCCCGCACGAGCGCAACCCUUGAUCUAGUGCCAGCAUUCAGUUGGGCACUCUAAGUGACUGCCGGUGACAACCGGAGAAGGUGGGGGAU